UACGGAGGGUGCAAGCGUUAUCCGGAUUCACUGGGUUUAAAGGGUGCGUAGGUGGGUCUGUAAGUCAGUGGUGAAAUCUCCAAGCUUAACUUGGAACUGCCGUUGAUACUAUAGACCUUGAAUGCUGUGGAGGUGAGCGGAAUAUGUCAUGUAGCGGUGAAAUGCUUAGAUAUGACAUAGAACACCAAAUUGCGAAGGCAGCUCACUACCCA
RNAcentral lists this ribosomal RNA (212 nucleotides) under uncultured bacterium. RNAcentral describes it as "partial 16S ribosomal RNA". It matches the Rfam family "Bacterial small subunit ribosomal RNA", at positions 524 to 735 of the family's 1533-position model. The record is from RNAcentral.